This 834-nucleotide ribosomal RNA is filed under the name uncultured marine bacterium. RNAcentral's name for it is "bacterial SSU rRNA". It matches the Rfam family "Bacterial small subunit ribosomal RNA", at positions 20 to 905 of the family's 1533-position model. The record is from RNAcentral.
UGGCUCAGAACGAACGCUGGCGGCAGGCCUAACACAUGCAAGUCGAGCGCAUCUUCGGAUGAGCGGCGGACGGGUUAGUAACGCGUGGGAACGUGCCCAGAUCUAAGGAAUAGCCACUGGAAACGGUGAGUAAUACCUUAUACGCCCUUCGGGGGAAAGAUUUAUCGGAUUUGGAUCGGCCCGCGUUAGAUUAGAUAGUUGGUGGGGUAAUGGCCUACCAAGUCUACGAUCUAUAGCUGGUUUUAGAGGAUGAUCAGCAACACUGGGGCUGAGACACGGCCCAGACUCCUACGGGAGGCAGCAGUGGGGAAUCUUGGACAAUGGGCGCAAGCCUGAUCCAGCCAUGCCGCGUGAGUGAUGAAGGCCCUAGGGUCGUAAAGCUCUUUCGCCUGUGAAGAUAAUGACGGUAGCAGGUAAAGAAACCCCGGCUAACUCCGUGCCAGCAGCCGCGGUAAUACGGAGGGGGUUAGCGUUGUUCGGAAUUACUGGGCGUAAAGCGCGCGUAGGCGGAUUAGUCAGUCAGAGGUGAAAUCCCAGGGCUCAACCCUGGAACUGCCUUUGAUACUGCUAGUCUUGAGUUCGAGAGAGGUAAGUGGAAUUCCGAGUGUAGAGGUGAAAUUCGUAGAUAUUCGGAGGAACACCAGUGGCGAAGGCGGCUUACUGGCUCGAUACUGACGCUGAGGUGCGAAAGUGUGGGGGAGCAAACAGGAUUAGAUACCCUGGUAGUCCACGCCGUAAACGAUGGUUACUAGCUGUUCGGAUUUCGGUCUGAGUGGCUAAGCGAAAGUGAUAAGUAACNCACCUGGGGAGUACGUUCGCAAGAAUGANCUCAAG